RNAcentral lists this long non-coding RNA (320 nucleotides) under Mus pahari (shrew mouse). RNAcentral describes it as "RIKEN cDNA A730036I17 gene (MGP_PahariEiJ_G0005546.1)". The record is from RNAcentral. Lineage: Eukaryota; Metazoa; Chordata; Mammalia; Rodentia; Muridae.
UGUGGGUGAUCCUACCCGCGCUCUGCCAGGGUCUUUCUAGUUCCAUUUCUGCCUGAUUUUCAAUAAGAUUAUAUUCUCAGGAGGACUAGAAAAGGAGGAGGAGGAAGAGGAAAAAGAGGAGGAGGACACAGCUGGGAGAACAAGAAAUUAUUUAAAUGAUGUGUGUAUCUGCGCACGUUAGUACAGGUGUCAGUGGAGACCAGAAGAGCACACUGGAUCUCUUGGAGCAGGAGUUACAGGUGGUUGUGAAUGUUGAAUUCAGCUGGGGUCCUUUGGAAGAACAGAGCAUGCUCCUGGCUACCGAGUCAUCUUUCUACCCC